Molecule: unclassified non-coding RNA, 283 nt
Filed under: Hevea brasiliensis (rubber tree)
Lineage: Eukaryota; Viridiplantae; Streptophyta; Magnoliopsida; Malpighiales; Euphorbiaceae
Source: RNAcentral
GGAUUGAAAUCCAUAUGUGUGUGAAGGUAAAAGGAUGAAGAAGGCGACGGUGGGUGCGGUGGUGGUAGGUACAGCGGCGGCGGUAGCUGUGGCGGCGCUCGUCAUGCGCCACCGCAUGGGUAAAUCGAGCAAAUGGGCACGUGCCAGGGCAAUUCUGAAGGAAUUCGAGGAGAAAUGUGCCACCCCAGAUGCCAAGCUGAAGCAAGUGGCUGAUGCUAUGACGGUGGAGAUGCACGCCGGACUCGCCUCUGAAGGAGGCAGCAAGCUCAAGAUGCUUAUUAGC